This 238-nucleotide ribosomal RNA is filed under the name uncultured bacterium. Its description in RNAcentral is "partial 16S ribosomal RNA". It matches the Rfam family "Bacterial small subunit ribosomal RNA", at positions 524 to 760 of the family's 1533-position model. The record is from RNAcentral.
UACAGAGGUCUCAAGCGUUGUUCGGAUUCAUUGGGCGUAAAGGGUGCGUAGGCGGCUUGUUGCGUCAGCUGUGAAAACCCGCAGCUCAACUGUGGGCUUGCAGCUGAUACGGGCAGGCUUGAGUUCGGUAGGGGAGACUGGAAUUCCUGGUGUAGCGGUGAAAUGCGUAGAUAUCGUAAGGAAGACCAGUGGCGAAGGCGGGUCUCUGGACAGUUCCUGACGCUGAGGGCACGAAGGC